Molecule: ribosomal RNA, 402 nt
Filed under: Triticum aestivum (bread wheat)
Lineage: Eukaryota; Viridiplantae; Streptophyta; Magnoliopsida; Poales; Poaceae
Description: partial small subunit ribosomal RNA
Source: RNAcentral
AUGGCAGCCAUCCGUGCGCCCCUCUGCUAUGUGACUCGAAAUCGAGCUCGGGCUCGAUGCGGUGACUGCGUUCAUCGUUGUAAUUACCGCGGCCACCGUCGCCUCCCUCGCGCGGGAAGACGGCCAGGAGAUCCGCAGUUGUCGUCUUCGUCUUCCCCGUGCACCAAAUCGAGCCAGGGCGGCCCGUACGCCCGCCAUCGCCGACGUCUUCACUGCGUACAUCGCCGUCCUCCACCAUCGUUUGCCACAGCUCCGGACCGUCCCCGGCCUCCCCGACCUCGUCAUCGAGUUCGCAACUGCGAGACUCACGCCGCUGCUGGUGCCCCGAUCGACUACUGUGUCAACGAACCCUCCUUGCCAGAGCAACCAGCAUGGUGGUUGUGGAUUCGUGGAAUGGCAUGA